AGUGGCAUCGCUUUAAUAUCAAAUAUUUAUAGGAUCAAGAUGGGCAUGCGGAACAUUAGCUAGUUGGUAAGGUAACGGCUUACCAAGGCUACGAUGUUUAGGGGAUCUGAGAGGAUGACCCCCCACACUGGUACUGAGACACGGACCAGACUCCUACGGGAGGCAGCAGUAAGGAAUAUUGGUCAAUGGACGGAAGUCUGAACCAGCCAUGCCGCGUGCAGGAAGACGGCCCUACGGGUUGUAAACUGCUUUUGUACCGGAAUAAACCCCCGAUCGUGAUCGGGGCUGAAUGUACGGUAAGAAUAAGGAUCGGCUAACUCCGUGCCAGCAGCCGCGGUAAUACGGAGGAUCCAAGCGUUAUCCGGAUUUAUUGGGUUUAAAGGGUGCGUAGGCGGCCUGUUAAGUCAGGGGUGAAAGACGGUAGCUCAACUAUCGCAGUGCCCUUGAUACUGAUGGGCUUGAAUGUACUUGAGGUAGGCGGAAUGUGACAAGUAGCGGUGAAAUGCAUAGAUAUGUCACAGAACACCAAUUGCGAAGGCAGCUUACUAAAGUAUGAUUGACGCUGAGGCACGAAAGCGUGGGGAUCAAACAGGAUUAGAUACCCUGGUAGUCCACGCCCUAAACGAUGAACACUCGAUGUUGGCGAUAUACGGUCAGCGUCUAAGCGAAAGCGUUAAGUGUUCCACCUGGGGAGUACGCCCGCAAGGGUGAAACUCAAAGGAAUUGACGGGGGCCCGCACAAGCGGAGGAGCAUGUGGUUUAAUUCGAUGA
RNAcentral lists this ribosomal RNA (771 nucleotides) under Mucilaginibacter sp. Its description in RNAcentral is "bacterial SSU rRNA". It matches the Rfam family "Bacterial small subunit ribosomal RNA", at positions 184 to 957 of the family's 1533-position model. Lineage: Bacteria; Pseudomonadati; Bacteroidota; Sphingobacteriia; Sphingobacteriales; Sphingobacteriaceae. The record is from RNAcentral.